Molecule: small RNA, 2084 nt
Filed under: Pongo abelii (Sumatran orangutan)
Lineage: Eukaryota; Metazoa; Chordata; Mammalia; Primates; Hominidae
Description: retained intron
Source: RNAcentral
GAAGGCAACGCGGUGGACCUGGGCCAGAUGAGCAGCUUCUACAUCGGCCUGGGUUCCCGCCUCCACUGCAAUAUCUUCUCCUACCACUACUCCGGCUACGGUGCCAGCUCGGGCAGGCCCUCCGAGACGAACCUCUGCGCCGACAUCAACGCCGCCUGGCAGGCCCUGCGCACCAGGUGAGGGCGACCCCGGGGGCGGCUCAGCCUGGGCACACCCGAGAGGGGACCAGGCUGGGGGCCGGGGGCCGGGGGAAGGGGCGGGCUUCCCUGGGAGGAAGGUGGGCGGCCCUGCAGGAGGGGAGCCACAGUGGACGCAUGCGGCCAGAGAGCCGGACAGGUGAGCUCAGGCAUGCGGGUGCCGCCUCCACAUGGCUGAGGUGUGGCCAGGCGGUCCCCCCACACCCUGGCCUGUGGACCCAGGCUCCCUGGGAUGCCCUGGCCUGAGGACAGGAAGGGGCUGAGCUUGUCACAGGGGCGUGGACGCCACCCGGCGGGAGGGGGUGGGUGGUGUCAGGGGGUCUGUGCACGUGUGGCUGGGAGCCCACGGGCCGAGGCAGCACUUGUGGCCAGGUGAGGUGAGGCUGCUGCAUCGAGGUCCAGAGGCCUGGCCCAUGAGGCCCCGUGGCUGUGGAGUUCGGCCAUCCCGGGGCAGGGCCUGCAGGGUCAGGUGCAGACCCCCAGCACACACCUGAGGUCUCGGCCAGCCUCGAUUCCAGAUCCAUCCCUGCUAAUCAUCCAGGUCCCCAGCCCUGCGCUUGCCUGGGCCCUUCACUGGUGUUUGAGCACCGCCCGGGCCAGUGCUGCUCUGGACCAGAAGACCCGCGUGGGCCUCUGGAGGCCUUUCCUGCUCGCCACCCGCUGGGGCUGUCUCGUCCUGGCCCUGCCCUGCCCAGCCCAGUGGUCGACCCGCUCCUGCAGGGGCCAGGCGCAGCUCUGAGAAGUCAGAGGCCCUAGGGAGGUGGGGUCCUCGUUGCCUUGGCGAUAUCCCAGGCAGUCCCUGCCGUGGGCCUGGGAGCUGGGUCCCCUGGCACCAACCUGGCUCUGGGGGCCUUCCGGCAGUGUGGGGCGCCGAAACCAAGCACCACUUCACGUAGCUUCCUCGGCCCCCUCCUGUCUCUACUGCCCGGGGCACUGGCAGAGUCACAGCCCCCAUGGCCAGCUCUGAGCUCUGUCUGCUCGGCCAUCUGUCCUGCUGCCGCUUUGUCCUGCAGGAUCCUCUGCCCAGAGCCCUGAGGGGGAGGCCAGAUCGCUCUCAGGGCCUCCACUGAGGAUGUCUCUUGUUUGAUUGUCUGAGUGGUGACAUCCAGGUGGCAGCUGGGGGCUCCUGCCUGGAGCAGGUGACAGGGCUGGGCUGGCUCAGCACACUACUGGCCUUGGCUGCCAGGGAGCAGGCCAGGGAGGCUGAGGCAGAGCUGGGGCCACAGGCACAAGCCAGGCAGCAUCCUUUGGGGCAUGGGUACCGCAUCAGCCCGGACAGCAUCAUCCUGUACCGGCAGAGCAUGGGCACGGUGCCCACCGUGGACCUGGCCUCGCGCUAGGAGUCCGCCACGGUGGUGCUGCACUCGCCGCUCACCUUGGACCUGAGCGUCGCCUUCCCCACACCAAGAAGACCUACUGCUUGGAUGCCUUCCCCAAAAUCCAGAAGGUGUCCAAGAUCACGUCGCCCGUGCUCAUCAUCCAGGGCACGAAAGACGAGGUGAUCGACUUCUCGCACGGGCUGGCGCUCUACCAGCGCUGCCCCAAGGCCUGUGGAGCCGCUGUGGGUGGAGGGCGCCGGGCACAAAGACAUCUAGCUCUACAGCCAGUACCUGGAGCGCCUGCGCCGCUUCAUCUCCCAGGAGCUGCGCAGCCAGAGCGCCUAGCGGCCGCAGGGGCCCCAACCGGCCGGACCUCAGCAAUAAGGCGGCCCCCGGACCUCACCCCGCGCCGGGCCCCCAGGGACUGCAUGCGGACCCCCUAGCGGCCCGGGGGACCCCGCCCCGUCCCAGGGGCCGUGGACGAUGUACAGGCAACAGAGCUACGCACUCCUUUCCUUUUGGAAGCAAGAAGAAAAAUCGUGAAAACGGAAAUUAAAGAUUUAAUUUU